Molecule: long non-coding RNA, 378 nt
Filed under: Arabidopsis thaliana (thale cress)
Lineage: Eukaryota; Viridiplantae; Streptophyta; Magnoliopsida; Brassicales; Brassicaceae
Description: ncRNA (AT4G03805)
Source: RNAcentral
ACUAAUUGCAAACAUUAAAUAGACAAUAUGAUGACACAUGUAUGCAAUGUGGAGAUUGCAGCGUAGAUCAACGUUUCAGCACAUGCCCCGUCACUGCUUCGCCGGAGAAAUCUUCCGCCGGUCAGCAAAUGAUUCAGCUCCUCCAUGAAACUUUCUACCCACAUUUAGUUGUACCGAAUGCCUUUUGCCAAGGAUCACCGGAAAUAGUCUAUUGGAGUUAGUUUGGUCACCGGAAAUUUAAACUUCAGCUGAUUAGGAUUAGAAUAUUCCUUGGAGGACCAUUAAAACAUGACGUGAACCCCAACUCGUCAUACUCUUCUCCAAUCAACCACAACACCUUGAUCUAUCAUCCAUGAAGAACCGAUGCCCUUACGCUUU